Piliocolobus tephrosceles (Ugandan red Colobus) is the source of this 1063-nucleotide long non-coding RNA. RefSeq lists it as uncharacterized. The record is from RefSeq and is a predicted model, not a curated record. The transcript has 3 exons. NCBI's taxonomy places the organism in Eukaryota, Metazoa, Chordata, Mammalia, Primates, Cercopithecidae.
CCUCGCCUGGCAGCGCCUCUAGCCGCGUCGCGUUUAUCCAGGAUACGGAAAAGUUUGCCAACCCCCGGUCUUACUCCUCAUUAAGGAAGUGUUGGAAUCAGUCACGGAGCCCUGCCAGGGAUGAUGGGGAUUGAGAGCAGUCAAACACCCUACAGGAGGCCAUGCAGCCAUCCACAGCUCUGCAGAGAGAAACUAAACUGGCGAAUUACCAUGAGUUCCAGCCCUGGGUUCUCUGUGCCAGUUUCCACUGUGGACAGGGCAAUGGACUGUCUUCCACUUGCUUUCUCCAUCUCUUGUUCUCCUCAACUGAAAAACAAAUUCGGGGCCAAGCCUGAAAGACUGGUCACUCUGUCCUGUGGGGAUGGGGAGAAUUUUUAGGACCAGUUACCCAUGGAAAAUGCAAAACUAAAAGUCUUUGAAGGCUUAGUUGAUUUCUUUAAGAACUGAGAAUUGAGAAGAUUGGAUGUGUAAUUUUUAUAUAAUACGUGAUGAAAAAUAAAAUCCUAUUUCCUCUUGUGAAUAGCUAAAGAAGGGGCAAUAAGAUAGGAGAAGAGAAAUGAAAGGCAGUGGAAUUGAAAUGAAUCAGUGGGCGGCCCAGGGCCCCAGGAUCUGGGCUAUAAAGGUUCCUACUUGGAACCUCAAAGGAAGAGUCAUAGGGUAACUACUCCUUUUAGCCCGGGGGAGGCCCCACUAAGCUUGCUGAGUAAGAAGGAAACGGGGAGCAAGGCAGUUGGGAAGACCCAGACCCUAAAGUACUGCUGAACAGACAAAGAUUAACAAGCCUUCAAAUUCCUGACUAUAAUGCAGCAUAAGAAUUAUGUUUUAUGCCCCAGAGAGAACUCCUUAUCAGUGAAAUUAAUGAAACUUACAUUUAAAAUAAUUAGUGUGAAUGUUAAUGAUCCCAAGUAAAGUUUUAAACAAAAUAAGCAAACGUGGGCCUCAGAAUAAGCAAAUUUAAUACAUGGACAUUCACAAUUAGAAUAUAAGUUCAUUCUGAGAUAUUUCUUUACUUUGCAGAAAAUUCCCUUCCCCAUGGAUUUGCUUUUAAAAACGUGAUCUCUUC